AGUACAAAGAACUGAGCUAACAGGAUUUUGCUGCCUAUUAUGGUGUUUUUGAUAAGAAUCAUGCGAUUGACGGCGAGAGAUUCAAAUACACGCACGUGCGUUUGUUGACAUAACGGCUCUCAUGGGUCCAACUAAGGGUGUUUCUGACGAUUCUUGUGGGCUUGCUAUAGAGAUUGUA
Molecule: long non-coding RNA, 178 nt
Organism: Haliotis rubra (blacklip abalone)
Lineage: Eukaryota; Metazoa; Mollusca; Gastropoda; Lepetellida; Haliotidae
Exons: 3
Source: RefSeq, a predicted model, not a curated record